This 75-nucleotide transfer RNA is filed under the name Deltaproteobacteria bacterium. Its description in RNAcentral is "tRNA-Pro". It matches the Rfam family "tRNA". From Rfam's summary of the family: Transfer RNA (tRNA) molecules are approximately 80 nucleotides in length. Their secondary structure includes four short double-helical elements and three loops (D, anti-codon, and T loops). RNAcentral also lists the same sequence under 1 other name. Lineage: Bacteria; Pseudomonadati; Myxococcota; Myxococcia. The record is from RNAcentral.
CGGGGUGUAGCUCAGUUUGGCUAGAGCGCUUGGUUCGGGAUCAAGAGGUCGAAGGUUCAAAUCCUUUCACCCCGA